Non-coding RNA from Microcebus murinus (gray mouse lemur), 769 nucleotides. The record is from RefSeq and is a predicted model, not a curated record. Lineage: Eukaryota; Metazoa; Chordata; Mammalia; Primates; Cheirogaleidae.
CUCAUUUUGCUUUGAAAUUGAGUUUGCCUGGGACCCUGGGCUUUGUAUUACUCAUAUUGUUGUGUGCUUUUCUUUUCCAGGUGCACGCACGAGCCCCAAAUUCAGUUUUUAUUGGUUUUAAGUGAGGAUUGGCUCCGGUGUGGGUUCAGGGCUCCUGGACUUUGAUCAUUGGGGUCUCAGCUGUCGUCGCUUCCAAGGAGCCUUCCAUGGUCUCUCCUCCAGUCUCAUUUUCUGCUGUGGGGUGGUGGCCCCAUCUUUCCAUUUUUAAAGACUCUCUCAAUACCAGAGAAGUAACUGUUUGAGAAAAGUCAGAGGGAAAAAGAAUCUCCAUGCACCAGCCUAUGCAGCUUUGAAUCAAAUACAACGUUGAACGUUUAAAAUGAGCAAGCUGAGAAACAGAGAGGUUAAGUAACCUGCCCUACACAGCUAAGAACUCCCUCGAAUUCCGCCUUAUAAAAAGUUUGGCAUUGAAUGGCCUUGUUUACACUGUGUAUAAGUGUUUUUAUGUUAUUACUGCACGGUGUCCAGAAGCACAAACAUUAUUUUCCCGGACAGCAGACUGCAUGUCUGUUUAGUGGUGAUGCAGUGUGGUUCCCCCAAAGAUCUUUCUGUUCAAAGAUCCGGCGACCCAGUGGGCAAGUGGAUCAACCCAGUUAAUCCGAUCAAUGUGGGACUUCAAGGGUGCUGCAGUGCUUCCACUGGCCACAAGAGGGCUCCAUUUCUUCUCCCCAAAAUGUCCACAGCCAUGACAGCGCUGGGGGCCACAGAU